CUUCAGUCAUGCUUCUGCCAGCAAAAUAUAGAUUAACUGGAAGAAACGGGUGGGACAACACACUGAAGAACAACUGUUUUUAAGAAGAGCAACAAACAGAACAGUUUGUUGGGAGGAAAUGGUGUGGAUCAAAAUGGGAAACAAUGAAAAGAGCGGGCAUGCAUGAUGGGGCCACAGGCGAGAUGUCCUCCUGCUGCACCCAUCAAAAUCAUAAGAUCAGCCCUGCUCCGGGCCGGGAGCAGGACAGGCCAUGACUCAGCAGCAGACAAAGAGACCGAUGACGAUGGAGAUAAGGGCUCAUCGCGUCACCAGAGCGCACAGAGCCGGUGAUAAUACUGCUGGCCUCUCCCUGCUGGCUCCAGUCUGCUCUGCCCUCCCGCCGGUGCCAUCUUGUCUUCAUUCUCACACACAAACACACACUCACAGAGGCUAGUGACUGACUCUGUACUUUUUCUCACGACAAAGGGUUCCCCACCCCCCAGACAGACCGCCUCCAUAAUGCCACGCUCUGCUGCACAGAGAACGAGAGAUAGAAAGAGAGAGAUACUGCUCCUGACAACCAUUGCAGGCUCAGACGCCAGUCUCUGCGCUAUCAUCAGGGUGAUGAGGGAGAUAAUUCAUGGAAAACUCUACCAAACGCAUCCAAUGCCAUUGUUCGCAGAUAGUCAGAGAUGCUCAGACACAAAAAUAGACUCAGAGAUCAGAUCUUUUGCCAUGUCGCCAGUCUUUGUUGCAUCAUCACAGCAUAGCUAAUGAUCAUCAUAAUACAUCAUUAUAAUCUAACUCUCAAAGUUUCCUCUUGCGCAAUUAGCUAGAAAUGACUAGAAUAAAUAAGUGUGAUCUCUCAGAGCCCAUCCUGUACUCAAAGUGGUGUCAUGUAUGAGCGAGUGAACGUGCCUGACUCCACGUUACAGUACUGGAUGUGAAAAUUGGGGUCAAGUUCAGUUCAGGGGUUGAUGACUAGCCUGCUGGCCAUGUGUCCUCCUGUUUCCUCUCGCUGGAGGAGGAGAGGGGUCAGCGGUGAUGGCUUUGUAAUGCGACCCUUAACUACACAUACACACACUGCCUCCUUUCCAUCCUGCCACAGUGACAAAGCUCACGUUCUCAUCUUAAGGAAAACCAAUGAGACCUUGACGCACUCUUUUGAACUGGAAUACAGAGGAGGAAGACGUAUGAUUGUUAUAAUGCUUUUAUUUUAAAUCUCAGCGUCCUCUGAAUCUGAUCAGAUAUGAGACUGGGAGGCUAUCUUAUCAGAUUGUGGUAAACAAAUGCAUGUUGGGAGAAAACAUGCUGGUUUUAAUCAUGUCAUUCAUGUCAUACAACUGGUAUGAUUUUAGGCAUUAAAUUACGCAAAGUUAAUAAGGUCUGCCAAAUGUAACCAACUCCCUUUUUUUUCUUCAGUUUUGAUUGUUUUGUUGGAAAAGCAAAAAAAAAAAAAAAAAAUAGGUUCCAGGUCUUUAGAGGUUUAGAGAAUUUUGUGCUCACUUCAAAGAGCUUUAAGAACACACUUUGUCAAAACUUUUUUUUUUUUUGUUAUAAAAUGGAUUAAAUUAAUAUUACUGCCAUCAAUCAACACAAAAUACACUCAUAGAGAGACAAUAAAAAUAUUUACAAAUAUUGAAAUGUACAAAACAUGCUGAAAUACCUAGUUUCUCAAAUAUUUUACACUUACAAAACAUUGAGACAACAAUACAACCAAAGAUCCCAGAAUGUUCUAAAAUGACCAAAGCUUGGAUUUGAACCUGCACCAACAAUUUGAAAAAAACCUGAAGAUUAAAAAUCAACAAUUUUUGAUUAAAUCCACAAGCUUAAGAGGAUCUGCUUAACCCAGAUGCUUAAAUUUAUUUUUGACAUUUUGUGCAACAAAAAAAAUAUAUAUUAAAAUAUGGAUAUAAUAAAGUGCUCUGAUGCUUUCUGAGGGCAGCAGUCUGAAUUGGUCUGACUGAUAACAGCUUUACAAUCAUAGAUGUUCUUUGAUGGUCAGAUGUAAAUGCAAUAAAACACAGCCAGAGGAGACAGAUAUAGAUAUUCACAAGAAUAUAUAAAGGCAAGACAGUAUCAUCUAAAAUGCAACCAGGUUUUACUGAUUAUUCUCUUUAUUCCCCUGUACUUGUUCUCAGAGAAAUGGGGCCUAAGGUCCCUGCCAAAACGGUCUAGUUGUUUAACCCACUCUUUUCCAAUGAACGAGGCAUGUACAUUGAAAUCUAUGAAAUUCCAUAAACAAAAAGCAGAUGGAAAAGGAAUGGGGUGAGCAGACAGCGCAGGAGAUGACAUAGAAGAGUGAAUCUAGUAUCAAAGUCCAUUUGCUGUGUAUGUGCAUUCUAGCCUAAACAAGCUCUAUCAAAAAGGUGAUUAUGGAUCAAUGGCUCUUCUAACCGUAAAAACAGGCUACUACUACAACCACCAUGCUGCAUGUCACAAUUUCUCCCAUUCAUAUUCCUAUGAGUUCUAUCAUUCUAUCUCCUCUCCCUUAUACUGGCUCUGCUAACCCAAUCUUAGCAUGCAGCGCUGUCUGCACUAUACUGCGCCAUUCCCCAUUCACCAUGUCACAGUGUCCAUACUGAUCUAUAAUUAAUUUAAAAAGGCUUGUGGCCCAGACCACACUGUUGAAAUGCUCUUUGUGUUUGGCUGGCUUACUUCCACACUGUCUGACAAGGAUUGUAUUUCUCUGCCUGACACGGCCAUUGUAAUGCUAAAAGCUGAAUAAUGCACACAGAGAGCUGAUGGAUCUGAAACAACAGGCUUGUUUUGCAGGAGACGCUCAGUCCAGUCAAUUCUGAUUUGUACUUAGAGGCUAUAAGAGAUAUUCAGCACAAAUCACAGUGUUAACAUAGUGUAAGCUCUGUUCCAAAACCUAGUGAGAUGCCUUGCAGCCUACACAGGUAGCUGCCUUCAAAGACAACCUAAGAGUCAUGGAAACUCAUAAAUAACUAAUUUAAAAACACAUAAGUGGUAACUUCACACAAACAACAAUCUGCAUCAGAGACUGA
Cyprinus carpio carpio is the source of this 2990-nucleotide long non-coding RNA. The record is from Ensembl. Lineage: Eukaryota; Metazoa; Chordata; Actinopteri; Cypriniformes; Cyprinidae.